GUACAUGCUUGCUAUAUGUGGGAAUGAAGGCGUUUGAGAAUUAUCUUCCCCGGUAAAAGUAGAAUUUUUCCUUUAUCUAACACAAGACAACCAGUUUAUGAUCAAAAUCAUGAAGUAAUCGAAAGUCAAUUUUAGUUAAUGUAGUUGCUCAAUGCUCAUUGAUAAAAACUGAUAUCUGCUGAAAUUUUACACUGAAAAUAAUCUCUGUUUUUUGAUUAAAUGGUUAUUAAGAUGCUUCCAAGUUAUUACAAGCAUGUUUCUCAAUAAAAGAGCUCAUCGGUGCGUUAUUGGGCUUUCAUUGAAGAAGAAAUCAUCAUUGAGUAAAGUAAACAGAAAAAGAACAUGUUAAUGGGUGUGGUGCAGGUGCUGAAUUGAGGUCAUGAUCGAGAUGGAUAGUUUAUUUUAUUCUUGUGAUCAGUUUAAUGACGACGGUAUUGUAUGGCCGGGUUUACUCUGUUUUGGUAACUUGUUCUUUCCUUAUUCUCUGUUUCUCGAGCACUAGAAGUGGAAGAUUUUAAGAUCAUGAAUUGGGAUUCACGACCAAAGCGAGUCAGUCAUAGUGUAAACAAAUAUUAUUAUUCAAAUCCACGACUUUCUGGAAAAUGAAAUUGAUAUUUGAUCUUCACCAUUCCCUCAAUGACACUUUUCUUGGCCUAGAAGGGGAUGAAGAAGAGGAGGACAAUCAUUUGGAAGGGGGGAGUCACAAGAGGAUGUCGAUCUCAAAGAAGCAUUUAAGGUAUUUGACAAAAAUGGAGAUGGAUACAUAUCUGCUAACGAAUUGCAACACGUGUUAGUGAAGUUGGGUUUCGCUGAAGGAAGCGAGAUCGAUCAUUGUCGGAAGAUGAUACUAGUUGAUCCCAAUCACGAAGGCCGCAUUGAGUUCAAGGACAUGAUGUGAAAGAUGUUCAUUGGUGACAAAGUUCUUCAACCUACACUUACACUGUGUCUAGACAGCUGGAGGACAAAAGGUAAAAUAAUUGAAAUUCCUGUUGACAGUUGGGCUUGUGUCAAGAAUGGGAAGUAUAGAGGUGACCUUGCGCAGGUAAUGGGAAGGUCGCCUCCCAAUGAUAUGUUGCUCCUUGUGCGAGCCUUGCGCAAGAGAGGACAUGUUGUUGGUGUAACAGGAGAUGGAAUCAAUGAUGCCCCCCGCACUGAAUGAGGCUGAUAUUGGUCUCUCAAGGGGCAUCCAAGGAACAGAAGUCGCAAAAGAGAGUUCAGACAUAAUAAUAUUGGAUGAUAACUUCGCUUCUAU
Impatiens glandulifera is the source of this 1252-nucleotide long non-coding RNA. RefSeq lists it as uncharacterized. NCBI's taxonomy places the organism in Eukaryota, Viridiplantae, Streptophyta, Magnoliopsida, Ericales, Balsaminaceae. The record is from RefSeq and is a predicted model, not a curated record. The transcript has 7 exons.